UACGGAGGGUGCGAGCGUUAAUCGGAAUCACUGGGCGUAAAGGGCGCGUAGGCGGCCGAUCAAGUCAGAUGUGAAAGCCCACGGCUCAACCGUGGAUGUGCAUCUGAAACUGGUUGGCUUGAGUAUCGGCGGGGGAGAUGGAAUUCCCGGUGUAGAGGUGAAAUUCGUAGAUAUCGGGAGGAAUACCGGUGGCGAAGGCGAUCUUCUGGACGAAUACUGACGCUGAGGCGCGAAAGCGUGGGGAGCAAACAGG
RNAcentral lists this ribosomal RNA (253 nucleotides) under uncultured bacterium. RNAcentral's name for it is "partial 16S ribosomal RNA". It matches the Rfam family "Bacterial small subunit ribosomal RNA", at positions 524 to 776 of the family's 1533-position model. The record is from RNAcentral.